GAGUUUGAUCGUGGCUCAGAUUGAACGCUGGCGGCAUGCCUUACACAUGCAAGUCGAACGGCAGCAUGAUCUAGCUUGCUAGAUUGAUGGCGAGUGGCGAACGGGUGAGUAAUACAUCGGAACGUGCCCUGUAGUGGGGAUAACUAGUCGAAAGAUUAGCUAAUACCGCAUACGACCUGAGGGUGAAAGUGGGGGACCGCAAGGCCUCAUGCUAUAGGAGCGGCCGAUGUCUGAUUAGCUAGUUGGUGGGUAAAGGCCCACCAAGGCGACGAUCAGUAGCUGGUCUGAGAGGACGAUCAGCCACACUGGGACUGAGACACGGUCCAGACUCCUACGGGAGGCAGCAGUGGGGAAUUUUGGACAAUGGGCGAAAGCCUGAUCCAGCAAUGCCGCGUGUGUGAAGAAGGCCUCGGCGUGUAAGACGACUUU
This 429-nucleotide ribosomal RNA is filed under the name uncultured microorganism. Its description in RNAcentral is "bacterial SSU rRNA". It matches the Rfam family "Bacterial small subunit ribosomal RNA", at positions 9 to 436 of the family's 1533-position model. The record is from RNAcentral.